Molecule: ribosomal RNA, 864 nt
Filed under: uncultured Actinomyces sp.
Lineage: Bacteria; Bacillati; Actinomycetota; Actinomycetes; Actinomycetales; Actinomycetaceae
Description: bacterial SSU rRNA
Rfam family: Bacterial small subunit ribosomal RNA
Source: RNAcentral
GACGAACGCUGGCGGCGUGCUUAACACAUGCAAGUCGAACGCUGAAGCCUAGCUUGCUGGGUGGAUGAGUGGCGAACGGGUGAGUAACACGUGAGUAACCUGCCCCCUUCUUUGGGAUAACGCCCGGAAACGGGUGCUAAUACUGGAUAUUCACUGAUCUUCGCAUGGGGGUUGGUGGAAAGGUUUGUUCUGGUGGGGGAUGGGCUCGCGGCCUAUCAGCUUGUUGGUGGGGUGAUGGCCUACCAAGGCUUUGACGGGUAGCCGGCCUGAGAGGGUGACCGGUCACAUUGGGACUGAGAUACGGCCCAGACUCCUACGGGAGGCAGCAGUGGGGAAUAUUGCACAAUGGGCGCAAGCCUGAUGCAGCGACGCCGCGUGAGGGAUGGAGGCCUUCGGGUUGUAAACCUCUUUCGCUCAUGGUCAAGCCGCAACAGUGGUUGUGGUGAGGGUAGUGGGUAAAGAAGCGCCGGCUAACUACGUGCCAGCAGCCGCGGUAAUACGUAGGGCGCGAGCGUUGUCCGGAAUUAUUGGGCGUAAAGGGCUUGUAGGCGGUUGGUCGCGUCUGCCGUGAAAUCCUCUGGCUUAACUGGGGGCGUGCGGUGGGUACGGGCUGACUUGAGUGCGGUAGGGGAGACUGGAACUCCUGGUGUAGCGGUGGAAUGCGCACAUAUCACGAAGAACACCGGUGGCGAAGGCGGGUCUCUGGGCCGUUACUGACGCUGAGGAGCGAAAGCGUGGGGAGCGAACAGGAUUAUAUACCCUAGUAGUCCAAGGGCGAAUUCCUCAGUGGAUAUAAGCUUAUCGAUGCCGUCGCCUCGAGGGGGGGCCGGUAGCCGCUUUCUCUCCCUAUUACUCUAGAUUAUG